RNAcentral lists this ribosomal RNA (637 nucleotides) under Aspergillus oryzae. RNAcentral describes it as "eukaryotic LSU rRNA". The stretch from base 255 to 408 matches the Rfam family "5.8S ribosomal RNA". Lineage: Eukaryota; Fungi; Ascomycota; Eurotiomycetes; Eurotiales; Aspergillaceae. RNAcentral also lists the same sequence under 1 other name. The record is from RNAcentral.
CAAACUUGGUCAUUUAGAGGAAGUAAAAGUCGUAACAAGGUUUCCGUAGGUGAACCUGCGGAAGGAUCAUUACCGAGUGUAGGGUUCCUAGCGAGCCCAACCUCCCACCCGUGUUUACUGUACCUUAGUUGCUUCGGCGGGCCCGCCAUUCAUGGCCGCCGGGGGCUCUCAGCCCCGGGCCCGCGCCCGCCGGAGACACCACGAACUCUGUCUGAUCUAGUGAAGUCUGAGUUGAUUGUAUCGCAAUCAGUUAAAACUUUCAACAAUGGAUCUCUUGGUUCCGGCAUCGAUGAAGAACGCAGCGAAAUGCGAUAACUAGUGUGAAUUGCAGAAUUCCGUGAAUCAUCGAGUCUUUGAACGCACAUUGCGCCCCCUGGUAUUCCGGGGGGCAUGCCUGUCCGAGCGUCAUUGCUGCCCAUCAAGCACGGCUUGUGUGUUGGGUCGUCGUCCCCUCUCCGGGGGGGACGGGCCCCAAAGGCAGCGGCGGCACCGCGUCCGAUCCUCGAGCGUAUGGGGCUUUGUCACCCGCUCUGUAGGCCCGGCCGGCGCUUGCCGAACGCAAAUCAAUCUUUUUCCAGGUUGACCUCGGAUCAGGUAGGGAUACCCGCUGAACUUAAGCAUAUCAAUAAGCGGAGGA